GAACGCUGGCGGCAUGCCUAAUACAUGCAAGUCGAACGAAGUCUUUAAGAAGCUUGCUUCCAAAGAGACUUAGUGGCGAACGGGUGAGUAACACGUAGGUAACCUGCCCAUGUGCCCGGGAUAACUGCUGGAAACGGUAGCUAAAACCGGAUAGGUAUGAGGGAGGCAUCUUCCUCAUAUUAAAGCACCUUCGGGUGUGAACAUGGAUGGACCUGCGGCGCAUUAGCUGGUUGGUGAGGUAACGGCCCACCAAGGCGAUGAUGCGUAGCCGACCUGAGAGGGUGAACGGCCACAUUGGGACUGAGACACGGCCCAAACUCCUACGGGAGGCAGCAGUAGGGAAUUUUCGUCAAUGGGGGGAACCCUGAACGAGCAAUGCCGCGUGUGUGAAGAAGGUCUUCGGAUCGUAAAGCACUGUUGUAAGUGAAGAACGCCACAUAGAGGAAAUGCUAUGUGGGUGACGGUAGCUUACCAGAAAGCCACGGCUAACUACGUGCCAGCAGCCGCGGUAAUACGUAGGUGGCAAGCGUUAUCCGGAAUCAUUGGGCGUAAAGGGUGCGUAGGUGGCACGAUAAGUCUGAAGUAAAAGGCAACAGCUCAACUGUUGUAUGCUUUGGAAACUGUCGAGCUAGAGUGCGGAAGAGGGCGAUGGAAUUCCAUGUGUAGCGGUAAAAUGCGUAGAUAUAUGGAGGAACACCAGUGGCGAAGGCG
Molecule: ribosomal RNA, 711 nt
Filed under: uncultured Mollicutes bacterium
Lineage: Bacteria; Bacillati; Mycoplasmatota; Mollicutes
Description: bacterial SSU rRNA
Rfam family: Bacterial small subunit ribosomal RNA
Source: RNAcentral